Molecule: long non-coding RNA, 1956 nt
Organism: Dicentrarchus labrax (European seabass)
Lineage: Eukaryota; Metazoa; Chordata; Actinopteri; Moronidae
Exons: 2
Source: RefSeq, a predicted model, not a curated record
GUGAAUGGGCAGUGUAAGGGGUUUUCAGUAGCCGUUGCAAGUGGAAGACGAAGGCCUACACCAAGGAGCCAUUGAGGAGACCACGCUGGGAGUAUGUGCUGUGAAACACAGAGAUGCCACUGAUAGACCAGAGGACAUUGGGAUUGUCCUGGAGGGCCAGGUGGUACUGCGUGAUCUGGACAACGUUGCCUUUGCUGUUGCCAUGCUGUUUGGCCUAAUGUAUGCCUUAAACCUCAACUACCCUCCUGAACUUAAGUACUGUUUCGAAGUGCUCCAGAAGGUUGUGAUGGAGCUGGACGGCAACACACUGUCAAAGAAAGCCCAGGCUCUCAAAAACAGACUCCACCAGUGAGCUGUUGCCAUUUAAUGGCAAGAUGGAUGCAACAGAGUCUCCCUAUCUUCUUGUGGAAUAUGGACCGUUGCUGCUUUUUCAUUGGACUGGACUUUUGACACUUACGCAUUUCACUUGCGCUGCCUUAAUGUAUGUUCUUGUUUAUAGCAAGUGUUGUGUAUUGUUUUCAGCAGAUUUUUUUCUCAGGGCCGUGUAUUGCAAAAUGACGUACAGAAAUAAUUUUAGCAUGUAGAAUUCAUACACAAAGUAUGUAGGAUCUUUAUGAGACUAACUUGAGCAGGAAAAGUUGAUUUACAACAACACUGCAUAUACUUUACAUAAAAAUCUCAUGUUGCUUUAAUAGGUAAGAAUUGAAUACAGUAAACAUAAAAGGGAAACUUUAAAUUAACCCCAAAAAAUGAUGUUGGGUCAUCACAGAAUAAUAGAAUAUAAUUAACAUUAAUGAAAAACUUUUACAAAUAAGAAUUCAGUAGAUUAAAUAGAAAUUAAUUUUCUAAAUACAUUUUGACUAAACAUAAAUACAAUAUGUGCAACCGAUUUUUUUUUAUGUUAAUUCAACAGAGUUUUUUUUUUCAGUGUAUAGGAUGAGUCAGGUUUCCUCCAUCUCUGCUUAUCACGAAACAUUAAUGGCUGAUUUGUGGAGAAAGGUGAUCUUCAUCUGAGAGUGGUAAAGUGUAUAAUGGAGAUGUCCUUCACUGCUGGAUAAUUAGAGCAGUACUAGGCCUGAGAUUUUGAUCUGUAGGAACAAACAAGGUCUGAUUUAUUCUAAUGUUUCCACUUCAGAUACUGCUCAGGGGAAAUUGUAAUACUAAGCUUUGGCGUGGAAUCAGAGAAUCUGAUUUCCUGGUUCCUCUGCUUAUCUCAUUACCAAUUAUCGUUAACUGCUGCCAUUGCCUCCUACUGAGUACAGAACAGUCCUACACAGAGGAAGCGUUUCAAUUAUUUAUGUGUCCCAUGGAUAAGUUAUAUUGUUGUCACUGACGCAAACAGAGAAUUAAUGCUACUCUUGUGCCUUUUAAGGAAGGCACAGGAAAUCUAAGAAUAUUCAAGUACUAAUGCGAACUGCAGUGACUGUCUGUUACACAUGAUGUUACCUGGAAUGUAGCCCUGAAUUAGACAGUAAUUAUCCAAAAAUGUACUAAAAUGUUACUAUCACCUCAAUAGAAUAGUAUACAUGUCAUUUCUUACCAACUGGCUAUUUUCUCAGUAUUUGAUUAAUAUUCUUGUGCAAUUUCCAUCAAUCACAUGAUUGUUUGUAAUCAGUGUAAAAGUAGGUUAGAAUAAUCAUGUAAAAACCCAACACAGAGAAAUACCCUAGACUUUGGUUACCCUCCAAUGACAGACAGCUGUUACCUGUGUGGUUACCAGCAGAUAUGGUAAUGUUUUUAAUAAUUAUACAUAUCCUACAUGGCUUGUAAAAAGUGACGUAACAAGUGUCCGAACUCAGACCCACUUAAUGUGCAAGAAAUGUUUGUUUUAUGACUUGUGUAUAGGCUAAAAACACUGUCAUGUGUUUAUAUGAUGUUAACUAGUUUAGAACAAACAAUAAAGUUUAGAUUUGCGAUGGUAUUAGCAAUUGAAAUAAAAUAAAAAGAUUAACCGUU